RNAcentral lists this long non-coding RNA (1669 nucleotides) under Bemisia tabaci. RNAcentral describes it as "lncRNA ENSSSA1NGG007099". The record is from RNAcentral. Lineage: Eukaryota; Metazoa; Arthropoda; Insecta; Hemiptera; Aleyrodidae.
AUUAUUGAUUUUCUGUUUGUUUUGUAUUUGUCGGUGGAGCGUGACAAAGGCACGACACAGCAGCGAUAAGACAUAGCCGACCAAUCAUGAUCCGCCGUUUAACCUACGUCCGCCCGACAAACACAAAAUUUCAAUAAUCGGUCCACUUGGGGUUGAAACCAACCCUAGUCGUCUUUUUUAUGCCAUCGGUCGCCAUUAGUCGCCGUCACUGCGCAAUCAUUCGUGUUUUGUUUCGUUGAUGCCAUCAGAAAUGGGCGGAGCUUAGUUUGUCAAACUGAGCUAGACCAUCAGUCACGUGACGCUUUGACGCCAUCAGCCGCAAUCACUCGUCACCCGAGUCCGGAGUGUCUCCAUGGAGCACCAUCAGUGAAACCUAACCUCUAACAAUUUUUAGUAGCGUAAUCCCGUGAUCGUGACGGACUCGUGAGUUGAAGCUGUGAAUUGGUGAGUUAUAAACUUUUAUUAAAUUUUGAUUAUGUCUCAAGUCAAUAUUUUUGAUCGUGGUAAGUUUUUUUCUUACAUUUUCCAUCAUAAUGAAUGAGAGGAGAGAAUAUAUUCUGUUUCGAUGAGAAGGAAGCCUACGAGCCUAUGUAGCGAAUCAAAUUGUUCAAGCAUGUCUUAUGAUUCAACUUCAUUUAGACAUCAAAGCUACAAGUUGGACUGAAAUAACAACUGAUAAAUCAUUGAAUUAAUACAGGUUAUAUGCAAAUUAUGGGGUGAAGCAUUUUCCUGCCUUGUAUGGAUGAGAUUGCUAACACAGGUGGUACUCUACCGAAGUUUAUACCUAUCUCUCUGCAGUUCCUGUCCCUUCGGCAAAGACAGUGCAAAAGAAUGUGCAAUUCCUAUCCAUGCAUUUGAUAUUUUAGAUAACAGUUAUUUUACCUGCCUUUCUCCUUGAAUUCGGUAAUUUUUUCUUUCUCAGAAUACAAUAAUGAUGAGGUACGAGCUCAUCAAAGUCGAUGGGAAGCCGGUCAGGGAUUCCACCGGGAAGAAGCUACUCUUGAGAGAUCAGUUGGGGAAUGAUGUAUUCAUUGAUGAGGCGCUCAUCUCUUUCGAACCUGAAGCUCCACAAGAAGCUCCCAAUUCAACUUUGCAAAAAAAAUCAGCAGAGACGAAACAAAAUGCAGAAGUUGAAGAGAAAUUUUGGAGCAGAAAUUUAGCAAAGCCAGAAGAGUUUAAUUCUCUCCCGGUCAAAAAUGUCCAAGAACUCCUCAUAAAAAUAUUCGGAGAUCCAAAAAUCCAACAAUUAUUUAAGGAUACCGUAACCCGUAAGAGUAAGGUUUGGGAGCUUGUAGCGGAAAGUUUGCAGAAAGCCGGAUACCCUUUGACACAAAAAGGACCAAGAUCACCCGGCAAACAAUGCGAUGAUAAAUGGAGACAGCUAAAAGCUCAGUAUUACAAACACAAGAAUCCCAAGACUGGGGAAGGGGCCAAAACUCCACUGCCUUACUAUGACCUAGUGGAUUCAAUCAUAGGAGAUGAUCAACUAACUUCACCCAAGCAUACCAGAGAUACACUGAACUCUUCAAACAAUUCUAGGAGCAGUGAAACAGCUGCAGCACCGUCUCCAAGUAACAGUGUCGAACAACCUCAACAGAACUUGUUUGGUGAGUCUGAUUCUGAGGAAGAUGCUGAUACACCUCCUGAUCCCAAACUACGGCUGAGGUAG